CACACUGUAAACGAUGAAUGCUAGGUGUAGGGGGUAUCGACCCCUUCUGUGCCGUAGUGAACACAAUAAGCAUUCCGCCUGGGGAGUACGGCCGCAAGGUUAAAACUCAAAGGAAUUGACGGGGGCCCGCACAAGCAGCGGAGCAUGUGGUUUAAUUCGAAGCAACGCGAAGAACCUUACCAGGUCUUGACAUCCAGCAAAAGCUUUGGAAACAGAGUGUGCCUUCGGGCAUGCUGAGACAGGUGG
Molecule: ribosomal RNA, 246 nt
Filed under: uncultured Bacillota bacterium
Lineage: Bacteria; Bacillati; Bacillota
Description: uncultured Firmicutes bacterium partial 16S ribosomal RNA
Rfam family: Bacterial small subunit ribosomal RNA
Source: RNAcentral